This 421-nucleotide ribosomal RNA is filed under the name uncultured bacterium. RNAcentral's name for it is "partial 16S ribosomal RNA". It matches the Rfam family "Bacterial small subunit ribosomal RNA", at positions 360 to 774 of the family's 1533-position model. The record is from RNAcentral.
AAUUUUGGACAAUGGGGGAAACCCUGAUCCAGCCAUCCCGCGUGUAUGAUGAAGGCCUUCGGGUUGUAAAGUACUUUUGGCAGAGAAGAAGAGGUAUCUCUUAAUACGAGAUACUGCUGUCGGUAUUUGCAGAAUAAGCACACGCUAACUACGUGCCAGCCACCGCGGUAAUACGUAGGGUGCAAGCGUUAAUCGGAAUUACUGGGCGUAAAGCGUGUGAAGGCGGUUCGGAAAGAAAGAUGUGAAAGCCAGGGGCUCAACCUUGGAACUGCAUUUUUAACUGCCGAGCUAGAGUAUGUCAGAGGGGGGUAGAAUUCCACGUGUAGCAGUGAAAUGCGUAGAUAUGUGAAGGAAUACCGAUGGCGAAGGCGGCCCCCUGGAUAAUACUGACGCUCAGACACGAAAGCGUGGGGAGCAAACA